CGGGGGAGAAUUUUCCAGCUGGAGCCAAGCGUGUGCUGCAAAGGGCCUACUGAGAGAUGGAAAGUCACACUCUAUGAUAUGCAGCAAGCACUCUCAAGGGCAAAGUAUGCCCCGAGCAUUAGAAAUAGAAGAUUUCUAGAAUUCAAGGCUAGGAGAGAUUUUAGAAUCCAUCUUGUUCAACCCUCUUCCCUCCCUCUUUACAUGGAGGAGUAAGAGACGAGUCAAGGGUACUCAUUCCUUUAUGCCAUUUAUUGAGUAUGAGUGCAGCUGACCUUGGGCUGGACACCGGUCUGUGUGUGGUCCAAGGAUCCGGGAAUGGAGGGUAAGCCUCUUGUACAGCAAUUGGGUCAUUGGGCUUGCAGUUUCUAUUUCUCUCUCUCUUUAUUUAUUUAUUUUUUAAAGUAAUUCAUCUUCAUUGUGUUUUACAAAAGGAUUAGUUCAAGAUGGAUUGAGGACCAAAAUAACAAUAACAACAAUAAUUUCUUGGCUGGAAGCAUUUGCCUCCUAGAGUUACAGCUCAUUCAGCCACAUGACUGUCAGGGCUGCCUGCCUGCUCCAAUUCCCUCCCACUUCCUCCCGUCAGAGGCCCCGAGAUAGUCUUAGAGACCUCAGGAACCCCAUUUUAUUCUCCAGCCCUGAUAGGAAGAUGACUCUCCUUGUGGGCGUUAGCCUUUUGCUUCUCUACCGAGGCGUGCUGUGUGACCAAGUGACCCAGAGCCCCCCAUACCAGACAGUGGCAAGCGGCAGUAAGGUGACACUGUUCUGCACUUAUCACACAACAUACUCAAACCCGGAUUUAUACUGGUACCGAAUAAGGCCAGAUCGUUCCUUUCAGUUUAUCCUCUACAGGGAUAACACUCGAUCCAAAGAUGCAGAUUUUACUCAGGGUCGUUUUUGGGUGUGGCACAGUCAGUCCCAGAAAACCUUCCACUUGGUGAUCUCGGUGGAGCCUGAAGACAGUGCCACAUACUACUGCGCCAUCUAUCCCCACAGUGUCGCAGGUGCCCAGGAGGUCUGAACAUAAACCCCCAGCACAGCCUGGUAUAGCUCCCUGGGAUCCUUCUUCCCGGCUAUUUUGUGUUCCAGCCUGGCCUUUGGAGGUGCCCUGACAUGUCUGCUGAAUAAUACAAGGGCAGCUCACAUCCAGGAGAGCACCCUGGCUUCAUAUGAAGCAGAGCACCUCCCUACCUUCUGACUCAGUGGGCCGUUGCGGUGGGAGAGUGGGAGAGGUAUAUCUGGGGAAUUCUCAUCUUCGUGUCCCCAGUGCCCAGGUCACUCACGCCUGAUAUGGGGGCCUGUCGCGUAUGUACUCUGAGGACUGUGAAGAUACCAGAAUGGCCAAGGUACCAUUCGGGAGUGUUUUUAUUUUAGUCUCCAUCAUUUAUCCAUUAUUGUGAAUUGGUCUGUUUUCCUUUUAAGAUUCAAAGUAGACACAAAGUUACUUACUUCAAAAAUUUCCCCCCAGUUCACCUUUUCCCUGCUUCUUCUUGUACAGCCUCCUUAUUUUUCUUGAAUGCUCUUUGACACUGCCAUUUCACUUACUUUAUUUGGAGAACAUUUUUCUUUCACGGAGGAGUAUUGAGAUACUCCGAAAAAGCUGUUGGUGAUCCCUAGAACCCCAGCAUCAAGUCCCUGGGUUUGGAGCUCAUUGGUGUCUCCAAGGAAGAUAAUCAUCUCCAGGAGAAUCCAACUGUGUGAUGUCAAAAUAGAUACACCCUGAGCCCUGGGAACUCGUCCCUCUUUCCUUUUUUUUUUUCCCGUUGAAUUCUUUGCCUUAAAACAACUAUUCAUUAUGAGAUGUAACCUUGAAGAGAGUAGAAGCCCAGGCUAUGAUUUUAUACGGAAAACACUAGAGCGCAGAGAAGGGAGGGACCUUCAUUCCCAAGGUCAGAGAGCCGGGUAAUAAUAGAGCUCACAUGUGCUGCUGCGCUUUUAGGGCUCUCCCUGGCAGCUUUAUCAGUAGGUGCUCUGGCAGCAGUUUAUCUGGGCUUCAAAACAGGUGGGU
Molecule: non-coding RNA, 2005 nt
Organism: Panthera uncia (snow leopard)
Lineage: Eukaryota; Metazoa; Chordata; Mammalia; Carnivora; Felidae
Source: the annotation of a RefSeq genome assembly